RNAcentral lists this transfer RNA (87 nucleotides) under Planctomycetaceae bacterium. RNAcentral's name for it is "tRNA-Ser". It matches the Rfam family "tRNA". From Rfam's summary of the family: Transfer RNA (tRNA) molecules are approximately 80 nucleotides in length. Their secondary structure includes four short double-helical elements and three loops (D, anti-codon, and T loops). Lineage: Bacteria; Pseudomonadati; Planctomycetota; Planctomycetia; Planctomycetales; Planctomycetaceae. The record is from RNAcentral.
GGAUGGGUGGCCGAGUGGACGAAGGCGGCAGUCUUGAAAACUGCUGUACGGGUGACCGUACCGGGGGUUCGAAUCCCUCCCCAUCCG